This 465-nucleotide ribosomal RNA is filed under the name Vreelandella stevensii. Its description in RNAcentral is "partial 16S ribosomal RNA". It matches the Rfam family "Bacterial small subunit ribosomal RNA", at positions 338 to 795 of the family's 1533-position model. The record is from RNAcentral. Lineage: Bacteria; Pseudomonadati; Pseudomonadota; Gammaproteobacteria; Oceanospirillales; Halomonadaceae.
CCUACGGGGGGCAGCAGUGGGGAAUAUUGGACAAUGGGGGCAACCCUGAUCCAGCCAUGCCGCGUGUGUGAAGAAGGCACUCGGGUUGUAAAGCACUUUCAGUGAGGAAGAACGCCUGGUGGUUAAUACCCAUCAGGAAAGACAUCACUCACAGAAGAAGCACCGGCUAACUCCGUGCCAGCAGCCGCGGUAAUACGGAGGGUGCGAGCGUUAAUCGGAAUUACUGGGCGUAAAGCGCGCGUAGGUGGCUUGAUAAGCCGGUUGUGAAAGCCCCGGGCUCAACCUGGGAACGGCAUCCGGAACUGUCAAGCUAGAGUGCAGGAGAGGAAGGUAGAAUUCCCGGUGUAGCGGUGAAAUGCGUAGAGAUCGGGAGGAAUACCAGUGGCGAAGGCGGCCUUCUGGCCUGACACUGACACUGAGGUGCGAAAGCGUGGGUAGCAAACAGGAUUAGAUACCCGUGUAGUC